RNAcentral lists this transfer RNA (87 nucleotides) under Candidatus Alcyoniella australis. Its description in RNAcentral is "tRNA-Leu". It matches the Rfam family "tRNA". From Rfam's summary of the family: Transfer RNA (tRNA) molecules are approximately 80 nucleotides in length. Their secondary structure includes four short double-helical elements and three loops (D, anti-codon, and T loops). The record is from RNAcentral. Lineage: Bacteria; Candidatus Lernaellota; Candidatus Lernaellaia; Candidatus Lernaellales; Candidatus Alcyoniellaceae.
GCGAAAGUGGCGGAACUGGUAGACGCGCUGGGUUCAGGGUCCAGUGAGUGCAAGCUCAUGGGGGUUCGAAUCCCCCCUUUCGCACCA